UGGCGGCGAUAGCGCGGUGGUCCCACCUGACCCCAUGCCGAACUCAGAAGUGAAACGCCGUAGCGCCGAUGGUAGUGUGGGGUCUCCCCAUGCGAGAGUAGGGAACUGCCAGGCA
Molecule: ribosomal RNA, 115 nt
Filed under: Edwardsiella tarda
Lineage: Bacteria; Pseudomonadati; Pseudomonadota; Gammaproteobacteria; Enterobacterales; Hafniaceae
Also listed under: 10 other names
Source: RNAcentral